Molecule: unclassified non-coding RNA, 312 nt
Filed under: Hevea brasiliensis (rubber tree)
Lineage: Eukaryota; Viridiplantae; Streptophyta; Magnoliopsida; Malpighiales; Euphorbiaceae
Source: RNAcentral
AAAGCAGCCAAAUCUGGAGCCCAGCCAUGACCCCCGAUGCAGGAGAGUUGAUGGCGCUGCGCAAACGCCUUGCCGACGAGAUCACGCUGUUCUCAAAAGAUAAGCACAUGCUUUUGAAGUUGAUUGACGACCGCAUCGCAGCUUCCCAGCCAGAUAGAGAAGCGGUGGCGCGGGCGGUAGGCGAUGUUGUCGAACGAUGCGCAAAGAUUGCCGAACCUUGGCCCGGUUUCAUCUUGGACGACAGCAGCACUGACGCGGACAGAGCAGUCGUCGCCGUGCGCACCGAGAUUGCAACUAAAAUUCGAUCGCUAG